AUUGAACGCUGGCGGCAGGCCUAACACAUGCAAGUCGAGCGGAUGAAGGGAGCUUGCUCCUGGAUUCAGCGGCGGACGGGUGAGUAAUGCCUAGGAAUCUGCCUGGUAGUGGGGGAUAACGUCCGGAAACGGGCGCUAAUACCGCAUACGUCCAGAGGGAGAAAGUGGGGGAUCUUCGGACCUCACGCGAUCAGAUGAGCCUAGGUCGGAUUAGCUAGUUGGUGGGGUAAAGGCCUACCAAGGCGACGAUCCGUAACUGGUCUGAGAGGAUGAUCAGUCACACUGGAACUGAGACACGGUCCAGACUCCUACGGGAGGCAGCAGUGGGGAAUAUUGGACAAUGGGCGAAAGCCUGAUCCAGCCAUGCCGCGUGUGUGAAGAAGGUCUUCGGAUUGUAAAGCACUUUAAGUUGGGAGGAAGGGCAGUAAGUUAAUACCUUGCUGUUUUGACGUUACCAACAGAAUAAGCACCGGCUAACUUCGUG
This 484-nucleotide ribosomal RNA is filed under the name uncultured bacterium. RNAcentral's name for it is "partial 16S ribosomal RNA". It matches the Rfam family "Bacterial small subunit ribosomal RNA", at positions 30 to 507 of the family's 1533-position model. The record is from RNAcentral.